AGUCGAACGAUGAUGCCCAGCUUGCUGGGCGGAUUAGUGGCGAACGGGUGAGUAAUACGUGAGUAACCUGCCCUUGACUCUGGGAUAAGCCUGGGAAACUGGGUCUAAUACUGGAUACUACCUCUUGCCGCAUGGUGGGUGGUGGAAAGGGUUUUACUGGUUUUGGAUGGGCUCACGGCCUAUCAGCUUGUUGGUGGGGUAAUGGCUCACCAAGGCGACGACGGGUAGCCGGCCUGAGAGGGUGACCGGCCACACUGGGACUGAGACACGGCCCAGACUCCUACGGGAGGCAGCAGUGGGGAAUAUUGCACAAUGGGCGGAAGCCUGAUGCAGCGACGCCGCGUGAGGGAUGACGGCCUUCGGGUUGUAAACCUCUUUCAGUAGGGAAGAAGCGAGAGUGACGGUACCUGCAGAAGAAGCGCCGGCUAACUACGUGCCAGCAGCCGCGGUAAUACGUAGGGCGCAAGCGUUGUCCGGAAUUAUUGGGCGUAAAGAGCUCGUAGGCGGUUUGUCGCGUCUGCUGUGAAAGCCCGGGGCUCAACCCCGGGUCUGCAGUGGGUACGGGCAGACUAGAGUGCAGUAGGGGAGACUGGAAUUCCUGGUGUAGCGGUGAAAUGCGCAGAUAUC
Molecule: ribosomal RNA, 627 nt
Filed under: Kocuria sp.
Lineage: Bacteria; Bacillati; Actinomycetota; Actinomycetes; Micrococcales; Micrococcaceae
Description: bacterial SSU rRNA
Rfam family: Bacterial small subunit ribosomal RNA
Source: RNAcentral